UAAUACGUAGGCAGCAAGCGUUGUUCGGAAUUACUGGGCGUAAAGAGUGUGUAGGUGGUGCUCCAAGUCUGUUGUGAAAUCUCCCGGCUUAACUGGGAGGGUGCGGCGGAAACUGGAAUGCUUGAGGAUGGGAGAGGAAAGCGGAAUUCCUGGUGUAGCGGUGAAAUGCGUAGAUAUCAGGAGGAACACCCGUGGUGUAGACAGCUUUCUGGACCAUUUCUGACACUGAGACACGAAAGCGUGGGUAGCAAACAGGAUUAGAUACCCUGGUAGUCCACGCCCUAAACGAUGCAUACUUGGUGUGAGCGAUUCAUUUCGUUCGUGCCGGAGCUAACGCGUUAAGUAUGCCGCCUGGGGAGUACGGUCGCAAGGCUG
This 375-nucleotide ribosomal RNA is filed under the name uncultured bacterium. RNAcentral describes it as "bacterial SSU rRNA". It matches the Rfam family "Bacterial small subunit ribosomal RNA", at positions 521 to 896 of the family's 1533-position model. The record is from RNAcentral.